CUUGUCUCAGGAUGAACGCUGGCGGCGUGCUUAAUACAUGCAAGUCGAGCGAACGGACGAGAAGCUUGCUUCUCUGAUGUUAGCGGCGGACGGGUGAGUAACACGUGGAUAACCUACCUAUAAGACUGGGUAUAACUUCCGGGAAACCGGGAGUUAAUACCGGAUAAAUAUUUGAAACCGCGCAUGGUUCGGAAAGUGAAAGACGUCUUGGUGUCACUUAAAGUGGAUCCCGGUGCAUAACUAGUUGGUAAGGUAACGGCUUACCCAGGCAACGAUCAAAACCGACCUGAGAGGGUGGUUGGCCACACGGGAACUGAGACACGGUCCAGAUUCCUUCGGGAGCCAGCAGUAAGGAAUCUUCCGCAAGGGGAAAGCCUGACGGAGCAACGCCGCGUGAGUGAUGAAGGUCUUCGGAUCGUAAAACUCUGUUAUUAGGGAAGAACAUAUGUGUAAGUAACUGUGCACAUCUUGACGGUACCUAAUCAGAAAGCCACGGCUAACUACUUGCCAGCAGCCGCGGUAAUACGUAGGUGGCAAGCGUUAUCCGGAAUUAUUGGGCGUAAAGCGCGCGUAGGCGGUUUUUUAAGUCUGACGUGAAAGCCCACGGCUCAACCGUGGAGGGUCAUUGGAAACUGGAAAACUUGAGUGCAGAAGAGGAAAGUGGAAUUCCAUGUGUAGCGGUGAAAUGCGCAGAGAUAUGGAGGAACACCAGUGGCGAAGGCGACUUUCUGGUCUGUAACUGACGCUGAUGUGCGAAAGCGUGGGGAUCAAACAGGAUUAGAUACCCUGGUAGUCCACGCCGUAAACGAUGAGUGCUAAGUGUUAGGGGGUUUCCGCCCCUUAGUGCUGCAGCUAACGCAUUAAGCACUCCGCCUGGGGAGUACGACCGCA
RNAcentral lists this ribosomal RNA (891 nucleotides) under uncultured Staphylococcus sp. RNAcentral's name for it is "bacterial SSU rRNA". It matches the Rfam family "Bacterial small subunit ribosomal RNA", at positions 18 to 890 of the family's 1533-position model. The record is from RNAcentral. Lineage: Bacteria; Bacillati; Bacillota; Bacilli; Caryophanales; Staphylococcaceae.